Molecule: ribosomal RNA, 501 nt
Filed under: uncultured soil bacterium
Lineage: Bacteria
Description: bacterial SSU rRNA
Rfam family: Bacterial small subunit ribosomal RNA
Source: RNAcentral
AGUGGCGAACGGGUGAGUAACACGUAGGUGAUCUGCCUCUGGAUGGGGGAUAGCCCGUGGAAACACGGGGUAAUACCGCAUGAGGCCCUGUAAAGGAAAGGUGCGUCUGGGGAUGAGCCUGCGGUCCAUUAGAUAGUUGGUGAGGUAACGGCCCACCAAGUCGACGAUGGAUAGCCGGCCUGAGAGGGUGUACGGCCACACUGGAACUGAGACACGGUCCAGACUCCUACGGGAGGCAGCAGCUAAGAAUCUUCCGCAAUGGGGGAAACCCUGACGGAGCGACGCCGCGUGGAUGAUGAAGGCCGUAAGGUUGUAAAAUCCUUUUGUCGGUGAAGAAUGACGUUAGCCGAUGAAUAAGCCCCGGCCAAUUACGUGCCAGCAGCCGCGGUAAUACGUAUGGGGCAAGCGUUGUUCGGAGUUAUUGGGCGUAAAGGGCGUGUAGGCGGCUCAUCAAGUCUGGUGUGAAAUCGCAAGGCUCAAACUUGCAUAUGCGCUGGAAAC